CCUCUGGCGGAGGGAGUGUGGAACUGCCACCGCUCUCCGGCAAGGUCUUCCGGCGCGCAGGGGGCGCUCGGGGCGCGGAGCCCCGCACCCCUCCUGGCCAGUGCGUGGGAAAGGAGGCGGCGUGAUCGCCUCGGAGGAAGAAAAAGGUGCCGGGACUAGGGAACCAACGCAACAAGCGGAGCUCACAACCACCCCGGGGCCGCAUACACCUCCUGAGAAUUAAUCCGGAAGGAUGCCUGGCCUCGUGGUGCUGGGGAUCUGUUCCCAGGGCUCCCUUGUCUAUGUUGGCUGGAUAGUCCCGAGUCCCAUGUUUUCCUCUCCCAGAACUUUGUAAACAUCAUUACUCCAUUGUUUUCUGAUGUAUAAAGUUUCUGGGGGCAAAAGAAAUAAGGCCAGCGUGAGUUUGAUUUUCUUUUUCCUUUUGUAAGUGACUUAGUUUAUAUUAGA
Nycticebus coucang (slow loris) is the source of this 447-nucleotide long non-coding RNA. RefSeq lists it as uncharacterized. The record is from RefSeq and is a predicted model, not a curated record. The transcript has 3 exons. Lineage: Eukaryota; Metazoa; Chordata; Mammalia; Primates; Lorisidae.